RNAcentral lists this long non-coding RNA (275 nucleotides) under Homo sapiens (human). Its description in RNAcentral is "HSALNT0281332". Lineage: Eukaryota; Metazoa; Chordata; Mammalia; Primates; Hominidae. The record is from RNAcentral.
UAUUUUUCAUUGGGAAAACUUUUCAACAGAAAUGGAGUGUAAAAGUUUUUCUUUGCGAUAGAACUAAACACAUGAUUUCUUGAUUAACAAACCACUGCAGUAAUAGAAUAUGCAGAAUGUCAUUUGACUAUAACAGAUUUAUUUUGAUUGCUGUGAGAUAGUUUGUAUAUCUGAGUUAUUAUUUUGAUUAGUUGAUACUUCCGUAUUUAGUAACAGUUACAUAAAGGUUACUGACCUGACAUAUAUUCUCAAUUGAACUAACUACUGUAUAGGAA